UUUGUUUUGUUUCUUUGAUUUUGAUUCCGGUGUUUAAGUUUUGCUGUUGUUCCUAACAGCUGACUGUGGACUCUCCAGCAGGGAUCAGAUUUCACCAACCACCCUAGAGCAAAGCUGCUUUGGUUCACCGCAGCACUCGUGGUCAUCACUAUGCUGUUUCUCGCCUGAAUUUACAUGCAUGGACUGGGAGGAUGUGAGCGUUGACGCAGAUGAACCAAACUGUGACUCCAUCAGUGUGUGUGGACAUGCAACAGUCAAUAAACAAGCAAAGAAAAGCCGACCGACUUCACCAUGACCACCAGGUGUCAAACAUCAGAAGUGUCCCACAUGUGGUCAUUUUUUAUUUUAAACAGAAGUUAUAGUUAAAAUUAAGAUAUUUAUACGAUAGCUAAUGAUGGCAGAAGCAGCUGUUUUAGUGGGUGUGUUGAUUAACAGUGGAUCUAUCCAGGAAUUUCCCAGAAACACAAAAAAAGAAUCUGCAUUGGUGGCAUGGACAUGCCAAGUUACUGUGUAUUAUGUUGCAGUUUAUUGAAUGACCACUAGGUGUCAGAAAAACACCAGCGAGGUUGAACAAUACUGAGCUCUGUAGUCAUGACCUCACUUUUAUAUCUGUGGUUAUUUUGAUAUUUGUAGUUUUGGAUGAUGACGUAUUGAUUAUAUUGUAAAGGAGCUGCACAUACACCACUUCACUAACCUAAAUCCUUCUUUUAAAUCAGCUCUAAAAACACACAUUUUUACAUUAGCCUUCUCUUUUAAAAAAAUCUUUUGUUUUUACCAAUGUUUUGAUGUUUUAGAUUUUCAUUAUUUUUGUUUUAUAUUAUUUUAUUUUUCCACGUAUUGUUGAAUAUAUGUAUUUUAUUUCCUUUGUCAGACUUCUUGUGAAGCGCUUUGUAACUGAAGUUUUGAAAAGUGCUCUAUAAAUAAACUGAUUAUUAUUAUAAAUAAAUCCAAAAAAAUUAGGACGCAGUGUUAAACAAAAAUAAAAACAGAAUGCCAUGAUU
Cheilinus undulatus (humphead wrasse) is the source of this 1001-nucleotide long non-coding RNA. RefSeq lists it as uncharacterized. Lineage: Eukaryota; Metazoa; Chordata; Actinopteri; Labriformes; Labridae. The transcript is spliced from 3 exons. The record is from RefSeq and is a predicted model, not a curated record.